AGAGUUUGAUCAUGGCUCAGAUUGAACGCUGGCGGCAGGCCUAACACAUGCAAGUCGAGCGGUAGCACAGAGAGCUUGCUCUCGGGUGACGAGCGGCGGACGGGUGAGUAAUGUCUGGGAAACUGCCUGAUGGAGGGGGAUAACUACUGGAAACGGUAGCUAAUACCGCAUAAUGUCGCAAGACCAAAGUGGGGGACCUUCGGGCCUCAUGCCAUCAGAUGUGCCCAGAUGGGAUUAGCUAGUAGGUGGGGUAAUGGCUCACCUAGGCGACGAUCCCUAGCUGGUCUGAGAGGAUGACCAGCCACACUGGAACUGAGACACGGUCCAGACUCCUACGGGAGGCAGCAGUGGGGAAUAUUGCACAAUGGGCGCAAGCCUGAUGCAGCCAUGCCGCGUGUGUGAAGAAGGCCUUCGGGUUGUAAAGCACUUUCAGCGGGGAGGAAGGCGGUGAGGUUAAUAACCUCAUCGAUUGACGUUACCCGCAGAAGAAGCACCGGCUAACUCCGUGCCAGCAGCCGCGGUAAUACGGAGGGUGCAAGCGUUAAUCGGAAUUACUGGGCGUAAAGCGCACGCAGGCGGUCUGUCAAGUCGGAUGUGAAAUCCCCGGGCUCAACCUGGGAACUGCAUUCGAAACUGGCAGGCUAGAGUCUUGUAGAGGGGGGUAGAAUUCCAGGUGUAGCGGUGAAAUGCGUAGAGAUCUGGAGGAAUACCGGUGGCGAAGGCGGCCCCCUGGACAAAGACUGACGCUCAGGUGCGAAAGCGUGGGGAGCAAACAGGAUUAGAUACCCUGGUAGUCCACGCCGUAAACGAUGUCGAUUUGGAGGUUGUGCCCUUGAGGCGUGGCUUCCGGAGCUAACGCGUUAAAUCGACCGCCUGGGGAGUACGGCCGCAAGGUUAAAACUCAAAUGAAUUGACGGGGGCCCGCACAAGCGGUGGAGCAUGUGGUUUAAUUCGAUGCAACGCGAAGAACCUUACCUGGUCUUGACAUCCACAGAACUUUCCAGAGAUGGAUUGGUGCCUUCGGGAACUGUGAGACAGGUGCUGCAUGGCUGUCGUCAGCUCGUGUUGUGAAAUGUUGGGUUAAGUCCCGCAACGAGCGCAACCCUUAUCCUUUGUUGCCAGCGGUCCGGCCGGGAACUCAAAGGAGACUGCCAGUGAUAAACUGGAGGAAGGUGGGGAUGACGUCAAGUCAUCAUGGCCCUUACGACCAGGGCUACACACGUGCUACAAUGGCAUAUACAAAGAGAAGCGACCUCGCGAGAGCAAGCGGACCUCAUAAAGUAUGUCGUAGUCCGGAUUGGAGUCUGCAACUCGACUCCAUGAAGUCGGAAUCGCUAGUAAUCGUAGAUCAGAAUGCUACGGUGAAUACGUUCCCGGGCCUUGUACACACCGCCCGUCACACCAUGGGAGUGGGUUGCAAAAGAAGUAGGUAGCUUAACCUUCGGGAGGGCGCUUACCACUUUGUGAUUCAUGACUGGGGUGAAGUCGUAACAAGGUAACCGUAGGGGAACCUGCGGUUGGAUCACCU
This 1528-nucleotide ribosomal RNA is filed under the name Klebsiella pneumoniae. RNAcentral describes it as "bacterial SSU rRNA". It matches the Rfam family "Bacterial small subunit ribosomal RNA". The record is from RNAcentral. Lineage: Bacteria; Pseudomonadati; Pseudomonadota; Gammaproteobacteria; Enterobacterales; Enterobacteriaceae. RNAcentral also lists the same sequence under 1 other name.